Molecule: unclassified non-coding RNA, 361 nt
Filed under: Hevea brasiliensis (rubber tree)
Lineage: Eukaryota; Viridiplantae; Streptophyta; Magnoliopsida; Malpighiales; Euphorbiaceae
Source: RNAcentral
UAUGCAUUCUCCAUCAACACAGACACUAUGUGAGGAAAUGAAAUGGUGGACACUUGGUCUCUUGCAUCAAAACUCAAACAAAAAUUAUGGAACAUGCUAUUUAUUAUUUAAUAAACUUAGCAUUGCAAAGUUUAAAAAUGAAAGAAACUUGAUCUAUGAGAAAUUUCUAUAAAAGUAUUGUCAUGUGAGGGCAUAAGUAAUGAAGGGAGAAAAUGAAAAAAAAAAUGUUAGAGCUGGAAAUUUCCAAUUUCAGGAAGUUCCACCCAUAACUAAGGUGCAUCAGUCGAUCACACAACAGCCACCUCAAAGAUACAAAUUUUUAUUAAGCACAGGUAUCAUAUUCUUUCAAGAAAAAUUAGGA